This is a long non-coding RNA of Brachypodium distachyon (stiff brome), 1388 nucleotides long. RefSeq lists it as uncharacterized. The transcript is spliced from 3 exons. NCBI's taxonomy places the organism in Eukaryota, Viridiplantae, Streptophyta, Magnoliopsida, Poales, Poaceae. The record is from RefSeq and is a predicted model, not a curated record.
UAUUAACUUGGUGCGCUUGUGCAAAUUAGUCAUCACACUUGCAAACGGUUAAAUUCGAGUGUUACAACUUGACAUAAUUGAGCACCCGACGUCCAAAAUACGAACCCGUAGUUUCGGGCGCUGACGUGGCUCGCUGACGUGGACUAAAUGGGUCUGGCCGGCAAUAAAAGUUUGCAAAUAGCCCCUCCUUCUUAUCCUGAUCUCAUGCCGAAAAAAAAAACAUAUGUUGCUUGAUGAUGCAUAUGGCACGCCAGGAGUAGCUCAGCCGCCUUCAUGGACAUGGAGGGAUUCCGGCGCGCGUUCGCGGUGUCUGACGGCGUCGAAGUCGCCAAGGUCUCCAUCGGAUUCGAGGUCAGCUUCCUGCGCCUAGCCCGCGCCGCCACCUCGGGACGUGCCGGUGGAGGUCGAGAACUCAAGGUGGAGGUACACAUGGCGUGGCGUGUACACGGCGGGCAUGUCUCGGCCAUGUGGUGGUUUGGCAAGGAGAAUAUGCCAUUGCAUGCGAGCUCGGCUGGUUCCUCGAGGGCGUAUAAAUGGUUGCCCGCGUGCGCUAGGCGCAGGAAAACGCGGCUAGAGCAGCAAGCGUGCGCGGGGGUCGAGCUUGCAGGUGCGAGACCAGACGUGGCUUUGUUGCAGCGUGUGGUGUCGGUGACUUGUUGUGUUGCUGGUGUUGAGUAGAGCCACGCGCAGAGGUCAUGGUUGAGGAGUUAUGCAGGUUGCACAGGACGUGUUCGAGGAAAUGCCUAUGUGGUGUUGUCUUGACCAGGAGCUGCAGCGGUGGCUUGUGCCGGCAAAGACGAUAGUAUCCAAAGUUCGGGUUGGCAGACUCCCUGCAUGGAGACCAGAGGUGGCAUUGAGUGCGGCGGACUCCACAAGAGGUGGAGGCCGAUGGUGGCGGAGGAACUCCAUGAGGGUGGUGAGCUUCAAGAGCAGCGGCAAUGGCGACGUAAGCGGAGACCAUCAAAGCCGGUAGCUGCUCGCCGUCGUCUUCGUCGUUGUCGAGCAGCAAGGUCAACUUUAGUCGGGACGCCGCCGUCGCAUUUGUUCCCUUUGCCCGCGUUUUCCCCACCGCCGCGCCCCAUGUCUCCGACGCAGUUCGGCAGAAGGCCCACGGGAUCCCCACAGAUCCCGACUUCGUCAUGCUGGAGCUCUAGUCGCCGGCGGCGUCAACGACAAUCUUCCCAAAGGCUAGCAAACAAGUGAGGGGGGUUUUGCAAAAAAUUAUGGCCAGCCAAACCCAUUUAGUCCAUGUUGGCAAGACACGUCAGCACUUGAAACUACAAAUUCGUAUUUUUGACCUCGAGUGCUCAAUCCUGCCAACUUGUAACACCUGAAUUUAGCCGUUUGCAAGUACGAUGACUAAUUUACACAAGCGUGCCAAGUUAAUA